GGGCGGGUGGUGAAACUGGCAGACACGUUAGCCUUAGGAGCUAAUGCCGAAAGGUGUGAGGGUUCAAAUCCCUCCCCGCCCACCA
This 85-nucleotide transfer RNA is filed under the name Candidatus Parcubacteria bacterium. Its description in RNAcentral is "tRNA-Leu". It matches the Rfam family "tRNA". From Rfam's summary of the family: Transfer RNA (tRNA) molecules are approximately 80 nucleotides in length. Their secondary structure includes four short double-helical elements and three loops (D, anti-codon, and T loops). Lineage: Bacteria; Candidatus Parcubacteria. The record is from RNAcentral.